RNAcentral lists this transfer RNA (85 nucleotides) under Felis catus (domestic cat). It matches the Rfam family "tRNA". From Rfam's summary of the family: Transfer RNA (tRNA) molecules are approximately 80 nucleotides in length. Their secondary structure includes four short double-helical elements and three loops (D, anti-codon, and T loops). RNAcentral also lists the same sequence under 2 other names. The record is from Rfam by way of RNAcentral. Lineage: Eukaryota; Metazoa; Chordata; Mammalia; Carnivora; Felidae.
GCCUCGGUGGCUCAGUCAGUUAAGCGUCUGACUUUAGCUCAGGUCAUGAUCUCACAGUUUGUGGGUUCGAGCCCCGUGUGGGGCU